AUUAUAAAUUAAACCCUCUGGUCUUAAACUGCCAAUAGUAUAAGUCGACUUCAGGGAAUAUUCCAGAAGUCUUCCAACAGGACAAUAACCCUCAAACACACCUCAAGCUUUUUGUUCAAGAAGGAGAGUGAUGGAGUGCUGCAUCAGAUGAACUCUCCUCCACGAUCACCUGACCUAAAUCCAGAUGAGAGGGUUUGGAAUAAAUUGGAACAGAGAGUGAAGGAAAAGCAGCCAACAAGCACUCAGCACCACUAGGAACUCCACAAGAUUGUUGGAAAACCUUUCGUGACUACCUCAUGAAGCUGACACGCUUGGAAAAUGCCAAGAGGGUCAAAGCUGUCAAAAAAUCGAAAUAAUAAAAUAUAUUCCAGUUAAUUUAA
This is a long non-coding RNA of Silurus meridionalis, 380 nucleotides long. RefSeq lists it as uncharacterized. The record is from RefSeq and is a predicted model, not a curated record. Lineage: Eukaryota; Metazoa; Chordata; Actinopteri; Siluriformes; Siluridae. The transcript is spliced from 2 exons.